Molecule: long non-coding RNA, 1312 nt
Filed under: Homo sapiens (human)
Lineage: Eukaryota; Metazoa; Chordata; Mammalia; Primates; Hominidae
Description: SUV39H2 divergent transcript (SUV39H2-DT)
Source: RNAcentral
GGCGGCCAGCGCGCCUGCGCCCCAAAGCUAGGCCCGGCCCCAAGCGCGAGGAGCGGGGCGGGGCGAGCGCGCGUGCUCCCGGAUCCUCGGCAGUGUCCGGCGCCCCCUUCCCUUCGCCAGGCCCGUUUGGCGCCUUCACUCGGGAAGACGUCGGCCAGGACUUUGCGCUUUGGAGACGUCUUACUUCGGCAGCACUCGCACACUGCGAGAUCCGACACGGGCAGCGGGGACCUAGGGAGCCGGGGACGCUGCCUGUCGGGUACGGUUCCGCAGCUACCGCAGCCCCGUGGGCCAUGGUUAGUCUCCCCCCGACACCGCUCCCUCUAGAGCUCCGGGCUUCGGAAGCGGCUGCACGUGGGCAUGGCUGGAGAGGUUCCGCUGGCUUGGGGCAGUCGCCGGGAUUCCGACUGGUUGGUGUGGGGUGUGGCCUGUGCUAUCCAGCUCCCAGCUGAUCCUAAUGUGCGGCACAGCGGAAACCACCGGUCCACAUCAGUGCUUCUCACUUAAAGGGGCUUACGAAUCGUCGGGGGUGGGGGAGCUGGACUUGGAAUUUUUUAAGAGAUGAGGUCUCACUCUGUCACCCAGGCUGGAGUGCAGUGGCGCGAUUACGGCUCACUGCAGACUAGACCUCCUGGGCUCAACUUUAAUGUAAAUUGGGAUUGGGUAGGUCUGUAAGGGGACCCGAGCUCCCCUCCCAUGUUGUUGCCAAGCUCCUGAGCUCGGCCUGGUGGCGGGUGGGGGCCGGGAGGAGAAGGACACGUUAGUAAGGAAGCUGCAGGACGACUCCAGGGGCCUCCCACCUGGUCUCCACCCCCCUCCCCCACCCAUUCUUGACGCUGCAUCCAUGAUUGUUCUAAACAACCUAAAGCAGAAAUCUUAGAGCAAAUAACGAAAACUGGCAGAAGGCCAUUUGAUAUCUCCUUAAAAAAUUCAUGUAAAAAAUUACAUAAACGUUUCAAAGCAGUAUGUAUAAAUUUGAAAUACUGGAAAUGAACGCAGACCAUUAAAGGAAUAGUUAAUUAUUUGAUUCCAUUAUGAAAUACUGUCUAGCCGUCUUAAAAAGGUGUUCAUGAAGCUUUUAGUAUUCAGCAAAACCAAAACAAAUCCCCCUGAAAUAUAGUUUUAACUAUGGAAGAAAAAAAUGUAUAGGAAAAUAACGAAAUAGCCUUUUCGGAGUGAUUUUCUUUUUAACUUCUCGUUUUUAAAUAUUUAAUCAUUUUCUACGAUGGGAAACACCACUUCCUCACACACACUCAUGCUCCCAGACUUUAUUUAGCUACAAACGGCAUCAUAAUACAAAUACUGUUCUGCA